This 244-nucleotide ribosomal RNA is filed under the name uncultured bacterium. Its description in RNAcentral is "partial 16S ribosomal RNA". It matches the Rfam family "Bacterial small subunit ribosomal RNA", at positions 1249 to 1500 of the family's 1533-position model. The record is from RNAcentral.
GCGAAGCCGCGAGGCGGAGNAAACCCCAGAAAUAAAGUCCCAGUUCGGACUGCAGCCUGCAACUCGGCUGCACGAAGCCGGAAUCGCUAGUAAUCGCGCAUCAGCCACGGCGCGGUGAAUACGUUCCCGGGCCUUGUACACACCGCCCGUCAAGCCAUGGGAGCCGGGGGUACCUGAAGCGCGUGACCGCAAGGAGCGCCCUAAGGUAAAACCGGUGACUGGGGCUAAGUCGUAACAAGGUAUC